Long non-coding RNA from Oncorhynchus keta (chum salmon), 1272 nucleotides. RefSeq lists it as uncharacterized. The transcript is spliced from 5 exons. Lineage: Eukaryota; Metazoa; Chordata; Actinopteri; Salmoniformes; Salmonidae. The record is from RefSeq and is a predicted model, not a curated record.
ACAAAGACCCAACAAGCUAAAUAAUACCCAACAUGCAAUAGUUCAAUAAUAUUCAAACAAAACCCAUUCCAUUCCAUUGACAAUUUUAAUAUUUUAUAUUUAACCGUUGUUUAACCAGGCGAGUCGGUUAAGAACAAAUUCUUAUUUACAAUGAUGACAUGGAGUCCUGUAUUUACAGGUGAUAACAUUGUAUUCAAAUAAAGCAUAUAUAUCUUUCACACACAGACCAAAAUCCCACUAAUUUACCAGGCCUGCAUGUUUUAUACCAGGUUAUUGGUAUAUGUGAAAUGGAUAGGGUUGUGAAAACAACACACAUGGAGAAAUAAAAACCACUAGUCACGGUUCCUGCGUUUUCACAGACCCUGGAACCAAAAUGCAGGUUUGAGUCUGUGUGAAUGAUUCUCUGCAGGUUUGAGUCUGUGUGAAUGAUUCUCUGCAGGUUUGAGUCUGUGUGAAUGAUUCUCUGCAGGUUUGAGUCUGUGUGAAUGAUUCUCUGCAGGUUUGAGUCUGUGUGAAUGAUUCUCUGCAGGUUUGAGUCUGUGUGAAUGAUUCUCUGCAGGUUUGAGUCUGUGUGAAUGAUUCUCUGCAGGUUUGAGUCUGUGUGAAUGAUUCUCUGCAGGUUUGAGUCUGUGAAUGAUUCUCUGCAGGUUUGAGUCUGUGUGAAUGAUUCUCUGCAGGUUUGAGUCUGUGUGAAUGGUUCUCUGCAGGUUUGAGUCUGUGUGAAUGAUUCUCUGCAGGUUUGAGUCUGUGUGAAUGAUUCUCUGCAGGUUUGAGUCUGUGUGAAUGAUUCUCUGCAGGUUUGAGUCUGUGUGAAUGAUUCUCUGCAGGUUUGAGUCUGUGUGAAUGGUUCUCUGCAGGUUUGAGUCUGUGUGAAUGGUUCUCUGCAGGUUUGAGUCUGUGUGAAUGAUUCUCUGCAGGUUUGAGUCUGUGUGAAUGAUUCUCUGCAGGUUUGAGUCUGUGUGAAUGAUUCUCUGCAGGUUUGAGUCUGUGUGAAUGAUUCUCUGCAGGUUUGAGUCUGUGUGAAUGAUUCUCUGCAGGUUUGAGUCUGUGUGAAUGGUUCUCUGCAGGUUUGAGUCUGUGUGAAUGAUUCUCUGCAGGUUUGAGUCUGUGUGAAUGGUUCUCUGCAGGUUUGAGUCUGUGUGAAUGAUUCUCUGCAGGUUUGAGUCUGUGUGAAUGGUUCUCUGCAGGUUUGAGUCUGUGUGAAUGAUUCUCUGCAGGUUUGAGUCUGUGUGAAUGAUUCUCUGCAGGUUUGAGUCUGUGUGAAUGAUUCUC